RNAcentral lists this ribosomal RNA (480 nucleotides) under uncultured bacterium. Its description in RNAcentral is "SSU rRNA". It matches the Rfam family "Bacterial small subunit ribosomal RNA", at positions 26 to 518 of the family's 1533-position model. The record is from RNAcentral.
AGGACGAACGCUGGCGGCGUGCUUAACACAUGCAAGUCACGGGGGCCCGCAAGGGUAACCGGCGAACGGGUGCGUAACACGUGAGCAACCUGCCUAGAUGUGGGGGAUAGCCGGCCCAACGGCCGGGUAAUACCGCAUACGGUCACGAGGAGGAGUCUCCUUGUGAAGAAACCUCCGGGGCAUUUAGAGGGGCUCGCGGCCUAUCAGCUAGUUGGCGGGGUAAUGGCCCACCAAGGCUUCGACGGGUAGCUGGUCUGAGAGGAUGGCCAGCCACAUUGGGACUGAGAGACGGCCCAGACUCCUACGGGAGGCAGCAGUGGGGAAUCUUGCGCAAUGGCCGAAAGGCUGACGCAGCGACGCCGCGUGUGGGAGGACGCCCUUCGGGGUGUAAACCACUGUUGCCCGGGACGAACAUCCACUUUCGAGUGGACUGACGGUACCGGGUGAGGAAGCACCGGCUAACUCCGCGCCAGCAGCCGC